Molecule: long non-coding RNA, 830 nt
Organism: Mauremys reevesii (Reeves's turtle)
Lineage: Eukaryota; Metazoa; Chordata; Testudines; Geoemydidae
Exons: 3
Source: RefSeq, a predicted model, not a curated record
AGGAGGAAGACAUUGUGAGAGUCUCUUAUCCACACAGACCUUCCCAGAUGCUCCAAACAGUGACAUUAGUGCUGACUCUGAAAGAACUUGUCUGCUCAUCCAUCAGCUCUAAGAAGAGGAGCCACAGCCCUGAAUUUGAACUUGGAUGGCAGUGAAUUUUAAAGGCUGACUAAAAAUGAAGAGGAAGGACACUGAAGUACUGAGAAGGAGGAUAGCAUUUGGUGAAGAAGAUGAAAUUAAACUUGACAUUUUUUGGAUAGGUAUCAAGCUGUAGUGAUUUUCAUUUCAAGAGGCUGAUGUAAGUAUGUGUGCUAGAGAGUAGCUGGGCAUCUCUUAAAACAUGAAUGGAAGAGGGAGUGGGCAACAGAUAGCAAACAAUAAUAAAGCCUGCAGGACAGAUGUAGGAGGAAAGGACCUUUACAACAAAGACAAAGGCAACAGAAGACAAGGCAGUGAAAGAAUGUGUUACUUGGGCAGAGUAAUUUUUCUAACUCAUUUUCUCUGGAUGGCACGUCAUCACAGGAUAAGAGGGGAGGAAUUUCUGUACAAAGGGAAAAUGUUUUAAGAAGCACAAAAGAUGAUCUUUGGUUUGGCAAAACCAUAUGUCAGAUUCUUUUUUCAGGAUUUCCCCCCUCCAGUGAACCCCUUGGGUUAACUCCAUGUAUUAUAUCUCUCCCUUUUUAAUUGACAGCUCUAUGGCUCUGUGAACAGAGACCAUAUUCUGUGCUGUUCCUUCUGGGCCUGAUCUUAUACCACCAAGGAAAAUGUAAGCCUUGCCAUUGACUUAAACAGGUAAAGAAUCAGGCUCUUAAUGCAGUAAUGAAAAUAUA